GUUUCGGACCUGUGCGGCAGGAAGUUUGUGAACCGGGUCAGAUGGGGAACCAAGCAGCCCUAAGCAGACAACCUGGGUGCCAGUACCCCGAGCAGAC
Molecule: signal recognition particle RNA, 97 nt
Filed under: Lentisphaerota bacterium
Lineage: Bacteria; Pseudomonadati; Lentisphaerota
Also listed under: 1 other name
Description: Lentisphaerae bacterium (anaerobic digester metagenome) signal recognition particle sRNA small type
Rfam family: Bacterial small signal recognition particle RNA
About the family: The signal recognition particle (SRP) is a universally conserved ribonucleoprotein involved in the co-translational targeting of proteins to membranes. Archaeal SRP consists of a 7S RNA and homologues of the eukaryotic SRP19 and SRP54 proteins.
Source: RNAcentral